This 500-nucleotide ribosomal RNA is filed under the name uncultured Anaeromusa sp. RNAcentral's name for it is "partial 16S ribosomal RNA". It matches the Rfam family "Bacterial small subunit ribosomal RNA", at positions 77 to 558 of the family's 1533-position model. Lineage: Bacteria; Bacillati; Bacillota; Negativicutes; Selenomonadales; Sporomusaceae. The record is from RNAcentral.
CAGCAAUGGAUCUUAGUGGCGAACGGGUGAGUAACGCGUAGGCAAUCUGCCUUCUAGAUGGGGACAACAUCCCGAAAGGGGUGCUAAUACCGAAUGUUGUACCGUUUCCGCAUGGAGAUGAUACUAAAGGUGGCCUCUGAAUAUGCUACCGCUAGAAGAUGAGCCUGCGUCUGAUUAGCUAGUUGGAGGGGUAACGGCCCACCAAGGCUUCGAUCAGUAGCCGGUCUGAGAGGAUGAACGGCCACACUGGGACUGAGACACGGCCCAGACUCCUACGGGAGGCAGCAGUGGGGAAUCUUCCGCAAUGGACGAAAGUCUGACGGAGCAACGCCGCGUGAGUGAAGAAGGUUUUCGGAUCGUAAAGCUCUUUCGUUAGGGACGAACGUGCUCUUUGUGAAUAAUGAGGAGUAAUGACGGUACCUAAAUAAGAAGCCACGGCUAACUACGUGCCAGCAGCCGCGGUAAUACGUAGGUGGCAAGCGUUGUCCGGAAUUAUUGGG